Molecule: ribosomal RNA, 492 nt
Filed under: uncultured bacterium
Lineage: Bacteria
Description: partial 16S ribosomal RNA
Rfam family: Bacterial small subunit ribosomal RNA
Source: RNAcentral
AGUGAACGCUGGCGGUAGGCCUAACACAUGCCAGUCGAACGGCAGCACAGUAAGAGCUUGCUCUUACGGGUGGCGAGUGGCGGACGGGUGAGGAAUACAUCGGAAUCUACUUUUUCGUGGGGGAUAACGUAGGGAAACUUACGCUAAUACCGCAUACGACCUACGGGUGAAAGCAGGGGAUCUUCGGACCUUGCGCGAUUGAAUGAGCCGAUGUCGGAUUAGCUAGUUGGCGGGGUAAAGGCCCACCAAGGCGACGAUCCGUAGCUGGUCUGAGAGGAUGAUCAGCCACACUGGAACUGAGACACGGUCCAGACUCCUACGGGAGGCAGCAGUGGGGAAUAUUGGACAAUGGGCGCAAGCCUGAUCCAGCCAUACCGCGUGGGUGAAGAAGGCCUUCGGGUUGUAAAGCCCUUUUGUUGGGAAAGAAAGGCAGCAGGUUAAUACCCCGCUGUUCUGACGGUACCCAAAGAAUAAGCACCGGCUAACUUCGCG